This is a long non-coding RNA of Helianthus annuus (common sunflower), 995 nucleotides long. RefSeq lists it as uncharacterized. Lineage: Eukaryota; Viridiplantae; Streptophyta; Magnoliopsida; Asterales; Asteraceae. The record is from RefSeq and is a predicted model, not a curated record. The transcript has 5 exons.
CGGACAUCCGGUGUAAUUUUGUUAGUUAAGGACAGCGCCUGCUGAAACUUGAAGGACGAUUAAUGCAAUUUACCCUAUUCUUUACAAAUGUUUAUUGCAUAAAGUUCAUUAGACAUCUUGUGCAUGUAAAUUAUAAUACUACUGCAUAUUCUAUGUAGUUGUUGCUUUAGAAAAUGUCAUAUUUAUGUGAAGGUGUUUUUUUUAUAUCUCAAACAUGUAUGUUCAGGAUUGGCUGCGUAUUAUAAUCACCCAUAAGGUUCACAAGGAUUUAAGCCGGAUUAAACGGUUCAAUGCUCACUAAAGAUUUGAAAAGGUCCUUGGUUGAUGUUCCAUUAUUCCCCAGUCUUGACUAAGUCAAAUGUUGCAGUUAAUAAUGAUUUACUCUAGAGAUGGAAAAUGAAAUAAAGGUUAGGAGAUCAUUGCUAAUAAUAAUGCACCAGGGAUGAGGUUGAGUACAUGAGAAAAAUGCGUGUUAUUGUUAGGAAAGCUUAAGACUGUUUAGACAAGAUGUAGACUGUAACCAAAACUUUAAAAGUGGGGCUUGGCUUUGACAUGUGGCAGAGGUGGGCUCCACAUGGCUGGGCGUGGCUUUUUUUGGGUGUGAGGUGGCGUGGCUUUUUUUGGGUCAAAUAUGCCCAGCCAGCCAUAUCAACUCUUGGAUGUGGAUUAAGCUAUAUUCAAAAAGUACAUUUGCAUAAGAGAUGUUAUGCAAGGAAAGUCAACAACAGUCAACGGAAGUCACCAGGAUUAACAGUAGUCAAUAUGCACAUGGAUGUUCUCUUCACAAAUUUUAUAAAUCAGUAUAUAGGAAAAGCAUCAAUGGUCAACAGGAUAUAUCUUGGACUUUGGUUCUUUGAAUAUGAGCAUAAAGCCCUUAGUCAUUGUACUUACUGGUCUCUUCAUUUUAAUGAGUAUAAAAAUAUAUAAGAUGCAUACAUUGGACUAAGAUUAUGCUAUGAAUUAGUGUCUCCUACCAUAUACGCAAUAUAUGUGAA